RNAcentral lists this ribosomal RNA (263 nucleotides) under Alternaria brassicae. RNAcentral describes it as "5.8S ribosomal RNA". The stretch from base 32 to 185 matches the Rfam family "5.8S ribosomal RNA". From Rfam's summary of the family: 5.8S ribosomal RNA (5.8S rRNA) is a component of the large subunit of the eukaryotic ribosome. It is transcribed by RNA polymerase I as part of the 45S precursor that also contains 18S and 28S rRNA. The record is from RNAcentral. Lineage: Eukaryota; Fungi; Ascomycota; Dothideomycetes; Pleosporales; Pleosporaceae.
AAAUCAGCGUCAGUAACAAAAUAAUAAUUACAACUUUCAACAACGGAUCUCUUGGUUCUGGCAUCGAUGAAGAACGCAGCGAAAUGCGAUAAGUAGUGUGAAUUGCAGAAUUCAGUGAAUCAUCGAAUCUUUGAACGCACAUUGCGCCCUUUGGUAUUCCAAAGGGCAUGCCUGUUCGAGCGUCAUUUGUACCCUCAAGCUUUGCUUGGUGUUGGGCGUCUUGUCUCUAGUUUGCUGGAGACUCGCCUUAAAGUCAUUGGCAG